CCAGCCGCCGCGGUAAUACCGGCGCCUCAAGUGGUCGUCGCUUUUAUUGGGCCUAAAACGUCCGUAGCCUGUUUGGUAAACCCGUGGGUAAAUCAACGAGCUCAACUCAUUGACUUCUGCGGAGACUGCCAGACUAGGGACCGGGAGAGGUGUAGGGUACUCAUGGGGUAGGGGUAAAAUCCUGUCAUCCCAUGAGGACCACCUGUUGCGAAGGCGCUACACUAGAACGGAUCCGACGGUCAGGGACGAAGCCUAGGGGCACGAACCGGAUUAGAUACCCGGGUAGUCCUAGGUGUAAACGCUGUGGACUUGGUGUUGGGGAUCCGACAGGGGUUCCCAGUGCCGGAGCGAAGGUGUUAAGUCCACUGCCUGGGGAGUACGGUCGCAAGGCUGAAACUUAAAGGAAUUGGCGGGGGAGCACUGCAACGGGAGGAGCGUGCGGUUUAAUUGGAUUCAACGCCGGAAAACUCACCAGGGCCGACUGUCAGAUGAAGACCAGCGUGAUGAGCUUGUCGGAUUGUCAGAGAGGUGGUGCAUGGCCGUCGUCAGUUCGUACCGUAAGGCGUUCUGUUAAGUCAGAUAACGAACGAGACCCUCAUCCUUAUUUGCCACCCGCAUAUUACUAUGCGGCGCACUAUAGGGAGACCGCUGGUGUGAAACCAGAGGAAGGCGAGGGCAACGGUAGGUCAGUAUGCCCCGAAUGUCCUGGGCUACACGCGCGCUACAAAGGAUCGGACAAUGGGAAGCCACGCCGAGAGGCGGAGCCACCCCGAAACCGGUUCAUAGUUCGGAUCGAGGGCUGUAACUCGCCCUCGUGAAGCUGGAUUCCGUAGUAAUCGCGUCUCAAAAUGGCGCGGUGAAUAUGCCCCUGCUCCUUGCACACACCGCCCGUCAAACCAUCUUAGUUGGGGG
Molecule: ribosomal RNA, 912 nt
Filed under: uncultured prokaryote
Description: bacterial SSU rRNA
Rfam family: Archaeal small subunit ribosomal RNA
Source: RNAcentral